This is a long non-coding RNA of Vicugna pacos (alpaca), 713 nucleotides long. RefSeq lists it as uncharacterized. The record is from RefSeq and is a predicted model, not a curated record. Lineage: Eukaryota; Metazoa; Chordata; Mammalia; Artiodactyla; Camelidae.
GGCAGGAUGGAAAGCAACAGCAUCAGUGGCAACGGGAAUGAGUGCUGGAAGUGUUGGUGGCUGCUGGUGGUGACCCUUGGUUCUUCUCCUGGUAGACACCUUCACACCUCCGGGGAGGCGGAACAAUGCAAUCCUCACUUUGAAAUCAAUUUGGUUCGAUCCGAACGUGACUUUCCAGCUGGAGAAGGGAGAGAAUGCUAUUUUGGCUGAACCUUGAGUGAUUGGUGGAAUUGGGGCACCUGCUGGCAUUCUUACAACCCCCUGCUGCCUGUUUUUACCUGAGCUGGGAGCAUCAGCCUCGUGGUGAAUCCCAUCAAAACCUUCAGGCUCUGUUCUGCUCUGCUUCUUGCCAAGCUGAAAGGAGGGUCAGCUGGAGUUUCUUUCUCUUCUGGAGAUCUCAGGGGCAGAGGAAGUGGCACCAAAUAUGUGGACCAGAUGUCUUCAAAUAGAGGCCCUGCAUUUUGCGUGAGUUUAUUCAGCUAUUCCUUUUCUCCCCCCCCCCCGGGGGAAGGUAAUUACGUUUAUUUGUUUGUUUGUUUGUUUGUUUGUUUGUUUGUUUGUGGCAGUACUGGGGAUUGAACCAGCGCAUGCCUAGCCACUACCAGCUACCUCUGAGCUAUACCUUCCCCUCAACCGUUCCCUUUUAUCUCCACUCCCCACUCCUAUUUCCAACUCCCACUGGCAAACAUUUUCAUGUGUUUAAUGUACGUUAU